Non-coding RNA from Myotis lucifugus (little brown bat), 76 nucleotides. The record is from Rfam. Lineage: Eukaryota; Metazoa; Chordata; Mammalia; Chiroptera; Vespertilionidae.
GAGACACCCGUAUGGGGCAGGACAUGAUUCAGUGGGGCUUCAGCACUCACUGAGUCUGUCCCCUGAGUGUGUCUCU